AUUGAACGCUGGCGGCAUGCCUAACACAUGCAAGUCGAACGGGGUAGCAAUACCCAGUGGCGGACGGGUGAGGAAUACAUAGGAAUUUGCCUUUAGGUGGGGGAUAGCCCGGGGAAACUCGGAGUAAUACCGCAUGAUGUCGAAAGACCAAAGUAGGGGAUCGCAAGACCUUGCGCCUUUAGAGAAGCCUAUGUCUGAUUAGCUAGUUGGUAGGGUAAUGGCCUACCAAGGCGACGANCAGUAACUGGUCUGAGAGGACGAUCAGUCACACCGGAACUGAGACACGGUCCGGACUCCUACGGGAGGCAGC
This 310-nucleotide ribosomal RNA is filed under the name uncultured bacterium. Its description in RNAcentral is "bacterial SSU rRNA". It matches the Rfam family "Bacterial small subunit ribosomal RNA", at positions 30 to 352 of the family's 1533-position model. The record is from RNAcentral.